GAAUUUAUAGAAAAAAAAUUAAUAAUGUUAGGAGUGUAACGAAAAUUUCAAGAAUAAUAAUAAUAAUAAUAAUGCUGGAACCUAGAAUCUCAUAUUUUGACACCAUAUUAAAAUAAAUAAAAUACUAUCUUUUUUUUUAGAGUCCGGCUAUGGUAUUUGUAAAAAUAUCAAGCACUUGGUGAUGCCUAUAAAUUUGUUACCGUUAGAUCUAUUCUUUUGAUCAUUUUUCGCCCGUUAAAUCACACUAUUCAACCAACAACCCAGCCAACCCUAGGAGUCCCACAUCAUUCUAACCGCACAUCUCUUAAUCAAUAGCCAAAAAUCUACAAGCAUCAAUAACUUGAUACUUUUAAAAACAUAGGAGCUCAAUUCUUUGUUUUAAAAAAAUUUAAGCUGUGAGAGAAUAGAUUUUUUAAUAUUUAUAUGCAGCGUAUCCGUGCCGAUCAAGCAUGAUGGUGAUAAUAAUAAUAAUAACUU
This 477-nucleotide long non-coding RNA is filed under the name Ananas comosus (pineapple). RNAcentral describes it as "long non-coding RNA (ACOM_LNC014263)". The record is from RNAcentral. Lineage: Eukaryota; Viridiplantae; Streptophyta; Magnoliopsida; Poales; Bromeliaceae.